GGCAUGGCGCGACCGUGUCUGGUGCCGCAGGGAAGCCGUGAAGCGAGCCACCUGGGAAGUACGGCCGCAAGGCUGAAACUUAAAGGAACUGGCGGGGGAGCACAACAACGGGUGGAGCCUGCGGUUUAAUUGGACUCAACGCCGGACAACUCACCGGGGGCGACAGCAAUAUGUAGGCCAAGCUGAAGACUUUGCCUGAAUCGCUGAGAGGAGGUGCAUGGCCGUGGCCAGUUCGUACUGUGAAGCAUCCUGUUAAGUCAGGCAACGAGCGAGGCCCGUGCCCACUGUUACCAGCAUAUCCUUCGGGACGAUGGGUACUCUGUGGGGACCGCCGGUGUCAAAUCGGAGGAAGGUGCGGGCCACGGUAGGUCAGUAUGCCCCGAAUCUCCCGGGCUACACGCGGGCUACAAUGAAUGGGACAAUGGGUCCCUUCCCUGAAAAGGGUUGGCAAUCUCACAAACCCAUCCUUAGUUCGGAUCGAGGCUGUAACUCGCCCUCGUGAAGCUGGAAUCCGUAGUAAUCGCGUUUCAAUAUAGCGCGGUGAAUACGUCCCUGCUCCUUGCACACACCGCCCGUCAAACCACCCGAGUGAGGUAUGGGUGGGGGCACAGACACCGUGCUGUGUUCGAACCUGAAUUUUGCAAGGGGGGUUAAGUCGUAACAAGGUAGCC
RNAcentral lists this ribosomal RNA (671 nucleotides) under uncultured archaeon. Its description in RNAcentral is "bacterial SSU rRNA". It matches the Rfam family "Archaeal small subunit ribosomal RNA", at positions 777 to 1448 of the family's 1478-position model. The record is from RNAcentral.